GCCGGGAUGGCGGAAUUGGCAGACGCGCUGGACUUAGGAUCCAGUGCCGUAAAAGGCGUGCAGGUUCAAGUCCUGUUCCCGGCACCA
This 87-nucleotide transfer RNA is filed under the name Acidobacteriota bacterium. RNAcentral describes it as "Acidobacteria bacterium tRNA-Leu". It matches the Rfam family "tRNA". From Rfam's summary of the family: Transfer RNA (tRNA) molecules are approximately 80 nucleotides in length. Their secondary structure includes four short double-helical elements and three loops (D, anti-codon, and T loops). Lineage: Bacteria; Pseudomonadati; Acidobacteriota. The record is from RNAcentral. RNAcentral also lists the same sequence under 2 other names.